Nycticebus coucang (slow loris) is the source of this 103-nucleotide small nuclear RNA. The record is from RefSeq and is a predicted model, not a curated record. NCBI's taxonomy places the organism in Eukaryota, Metazoa, Chordata, Mammalia, Primates, Lorisidae.
UUGCUUCAGCAGCAAGUAUACUAAUAUUGGAAUGAUACAUAGAAGAUUAGCAUGGCCCCAGCCCAAGGAUGAAAUGCAAAUUUAUGAAGCAUUCCAUAUUUUU